CCUCGGGGGGCAGCAGUGGGGAAUAUUGGACAAUGGGCGAAAGCCUGAUCCAGCCAUGCCGCGUGUGUGAAGAAGGCCUUCGGGUUGUAAAGCACUUUCAGUGGGGAAGAAAGCCUUGGGGCUAAUACCCUCGAGGAAGGACAUCACCCACAGAAGAAGCACCGGCUAACUCCGUGCCAGCAGCCGCGGUAAUACGGAGGGUGCGAGCGUUAAUCGGAAUUACUGGGCGUAAAGCGCGCGUAGGCGGUCUGAUAAGCCGGUUGUGAAAGCCCCGGGUUCAACCUGGGAACGGCAUCCGGAACUGUCAGGCUAGAGUGCAGGAGAGGAAGGUAGAAUUCCCGGUGUAGCGGUGAAAUGCGUAGAGAUCGGGAGGAAUACCAGUGGCGAAGGCGGCCUUCUGGACUGACACUGACGCUGAGGUGCGAAAGCGUGGGUAGCAAACAGGAUUAGAUACCCGAGUAGUC
This 464-nucleotide ribosomal RNA is filed under the name Vreelandella stevensii. Its description in RNAcentral is "partial 16S ribosomal RNA". It matches the Rfam family "Bacterial small subunit ribosomal RNA", at positions 339 to 795 of the family's 1533-position model. The record is from RNAcentral. Lineage: Bacteria; Pseudomonadati; Pseudomonadota; Gammaproteobacteria; Oceanospirillales; Halomonadaceae.